AUUGGGUUAUGGGAUUGGUCUCCCAGCAUGCCUUGCAGUUCAGCGUAGCCCAGCACUGGGAACCAGAAGGGCGAUUGAGUACACACAGCAUCUGUAUGGGCAUCUCUGGUAAUAACCACUGCCUGGACACAUCUUACAUGAUUAGUGGUCAUUCACUGGUCAGUACCAGAGCACCCAUUGCUUCACUCUGCCUAAUUAUAAUAGCAACAUUGCCCAAUAACAUCAGCCCAGGCACUGCUGGGUUUGUCAUUAGACUCUGUAGGGUUUGCAGAAGUUGGGAUUUUCAGAGAUGUCUGGCAUUCUGAGGCGUAACCAUAGCGAUGCCCAAGAGCACAGAAGAACAUUCCUGACCUCUCACACACAGCUGUGGGUUUGGCCGCCCCCAGGGUGGGAACUGUUUGCUUUAUAUCAGAGGCAGUUCUUCUGUCCAGGCAGCUCUCUGGCCUACCUACACACUACCCAGCCAGAUCACCAUCAUCAUCAUCAUCAUCAUCAUCAUCAUCAUCAUCAGAGAGCAGGGUCACUGAGCCAAAUGUUUAAGACUAUGUGGUCAUUAACUACAUAAUUUCAUGUCUGUUUUCUCAGGUAUUUCACACUAUAUCAUCAUACAUUGUCUAUGAAUGUGUCUUGUUAUAUUAACAUACAGCAUUUGUAAUAAUAUGUAUCUGGUCAUACAAGGCAUACACAAAUGAUAAGAAUGCAGCAGUAAUUAUGUGAUAUAAAGUCAUGCUUGAAAGUUUGAGAACCCUUUAGAAUGUUCUAUAUUUCUGCAUAAAUAUGACCUAAAACAUCAUCAGAUGUUUCACACAAGUCCUAAAAGUAGAUUAAAUGAAACAAAGGUAUCAUAGUUGGUCAUUUAUUUCUUGGGGAAAAUGAUCCAAUAUUACAUGUCUUGAGUAUCUGGUGGGUCUCCUUGAGUAGCAACUAAACAACGCUUCAAGUCCUUCUACUUUACCUCCUAACCUUACUCUAGGGAUCUACCAAGAAAAUCAACAUAUAAUGGCUGAGAAUGGCCGAUAACUGAUAUUUUGGACCGAUAUUCAUUGAUCAUAUUUGGCUGUUGCAAAAACUAAAUUGAUGAAGGGAAUUAUAAUGAGUUCAUUUACAAAUACCUUCUAUGAAAAACAGACAUUGUGCAGAUAUUACACCAAUCUAGGUCUCUAAAGUCUAUGAAAGGCAAAUGAACGGCACCAAUGAUGAUAUUGAUUAAGUGAGCAAAGAUAGGUUAACUAGCUAGCCAGCUAGCUUAAAUUUGUUACGCCAUUAUGUUUUACAUCUUAAAUAAGGUUACAUUAAUAAAGUUAGCUUCAUUCUUAAGAUAUGCAAAAUGACUAAAAUGUGCUAAUAUAGGAUGGGAAAUUGAGAUGAUCCAAUCGGAUCCAGUAAAAGUGUUUGCUGCAAAUGUUAUGGUUCUGGUUGCCAAUCAGGAGUUUACAGAAAUCACUGUUAAUAAGAAAGUGUAAGGAUAUAAAAAAGAAAGAAUAAAAUAUAAAUAGAUCUAGUUCAUCUUUAUAUACAGGUAAACCGGUCAUACAUAGUAUAAACACAAGAGGGCACUUUUUAGACAAAUAUCAGCAUCGCUGAUAUGAGGAGGCAGAGACUGAUCUGAUCCCCCUUUGACACACAUCAGUUACUCUACGUUAUUCUUUUUUUAGAACAACUUGUGUGCAUAUGGUCGCUGUCUUGCUGCCUGGCCCACAUGCUCUUGACAUUCAUUUCAAAGACAGACAUAAUUCAGAAUUCGUUGUUUCAUUAAUGACGGCAAAGCGUCCUGGCCCAGAUUUCGCAAAACCGGCCCAAACCAUGAUACGACCAUCAUCAUGUUUCACAGAUGGGAUAAGGUUGUUAUGAUGGAAUGCUGUGUUUUUCUUUCUUCAAACCUUUAAGCACUUCUCAUUUAAACCAAAAAGUUCUAUUUUGGGCUUAUCCAUCAAAGCCUUCUGGCUUCUCCAUCUUAAGCAGAAUGGAGACAGGCAGCCAUGUUGUUUUGUGGAGAGCAGUAACUGUCUUUCAUGUUGUUCUCCAAAGUGUGAGAGGCCUUUUAGUUGCUACAGGUUACCCUGGUUUCCUUUGUGACCUCACAGACUACUACACGCCUCGCUCUUAGAGAGAUCUUUGUUGGUCGGCCAACAUAUAUGUAAUACUGGAUCAUUUUCAUAUAUGUAAUACUGGAUCAUUUUCUUCAAUAUUUGUACCUCAUCUGUUUGAUUGGGUACUCUUUAUCUACUUUUAGAACUUGUGUGUAAAUCUGAUGAUGUUUUAGGUCACAUUCAUGCAGAAACACAGAACAUUGUAAAGGGCUACCAAACCUUCAAGCACCCCUCACUGUUUGUCUAGCACACAUAAGCCAUCCUCUGUCAGCCCAGACGCAUGUAUGCCAGCCUGGUCUAGGCUGCCUCUAUCCACCCCUGGGUCCUGAGGGACUCCACCUCUAUCUGCCCCUAGGUCCUGAGGGGCUGCACCUCUAUCUGCCCCUAGGUCCUGAGGGACUCCAUCUCUGUGCCUGCCCUCACGGGGCAAACCUGCAGUGCUGCUCCUGCUGCCGUCAUGUAAUCAACACUUAUAGUCACAUAUCUGCCAUGCGUGCUGGAGCCAGGGCAGGAGAAGGAGGAGGAGGAGGAGGAGGAGGAGGAGGAGGAGGAGGAGGUGGAGCAGUGAGGUCAGGUCUCUUAUGCGCUAGUGUCCCUCUCGCUGACACAUCUGGCUUCAGAUUGCAGUGUUUGGGUACAGAAUUAACAAUCUGACCAAACUGGCUUCACAGAUAUCCAUAUUCCACCCUCUCCUUCACUGGCACUGGCUGAGCUGCGGGUCUGAGGAGAGACCUACUGUGAGGCCCAAAGAGGACGACCCUACAUCAAUCAGACAGGUCCAGCCAGGUCAGAUGAAGAACUCAUCAGCCUGCUGCGUGUGGUUCUGACCCGGAGUUGGACCCGGUUCCCCCCCGGCUGUCCUCUCCUUUGGGGCCCUGAUGUCUGCGGUUUUGUUGGUACUCCUGCACAUUCCCAGAGACGUCGCAGUGACCUCUGCCCUCUGCUCUGUGCCAGCUGGAGACCCGGGCGCCCACGUCCUGGCAGUGCCCGGCGCCGCUGUGUGUGGGUCGGGCAGGCAGCGGCUCAGCUCCCUGGCCAGCGUCUCCAGUGCGGAGGCCCCGACGGCGGCGGGUCUCUCGGCCCGUGAAGGCACUACGGCGCAGCCCGUGUCCACGUUGGUCUCCGGCUCCUCCUCUUCCUCCUCCUCCUCCUCCUCCAGGAGCAGGAAAGACAGGGAGGAGGAAGAGGAGGGGGGCUGUGCCGACCCGGGGGGGUGGGAAGGGGGGGGCGCGGGGCUGCUGCGCUGGGACGAGUAGCAGGAGCUGCCGGGCGGGGUGCUGCAGCAGCUGUCCGAGCCCACGCUCUCCCCGCCCCCGAUGUUCAGCGGGGCGUACGAGGAGCAGCGCUGCUCCGGCCCACACUCGGCCCGCAUCCGGCCCAGAGUCACCCGGCUGUCUCUCAGCUGCGCCAGCCUGCCACUGGGGGAGAGGCCCGCAGACACGCUGGAGUGUCUCGGGACGCCCGCUCUGGAGGUGGGCAGGCUGGCGGAGGUCAGAGGGAAGGCAGAGACGCAGGGCCGCUGGGCCUGAACACAGCCCUUCACCUGGGGGAGACACAGAGAGAGACAGAGCAGGCUGCAGUCACACAGGAAGCACUCUACAUCAGACAACACAUCUAGUUAAGCAACAGUACUGUUAUAUUAAGAAAGGAAGUGUAGGAUUUGCAGUUUGUAUGCAACAAUUUGCCACAUUUUGAGGUAUGUUUUUACAGGCAACUAAUCUUGGCAUCAGAUCCAGGUAGAGCAGCAGAGCAUUAGCGCAUGUGCUAAAGGCACCCGGGUCAACAUCAGACAGGAUGCACCUGGGUAAUAAUACAAAUUACA
This is a long non-coding RNA of Clupea harengus (Atlantic herring), 3912 nucleotides long. The record is from Ensembl. NCBI's taxonomy places the organism in Eukaryota, Metazoa, Chordata, Actinopteri, Clupeiformes, Clupeidae.